This 233-nucleotide ribosomal RNA is filed under the name uncultured bacterium. RNAcentral describes it as "partial 16S ribosomal RNA". It matches the Rfam family "Bacterial small subunit ribosomal RNA", at positions 100 to 334 of the family's 1533-position model. The record is from RNAcentral.
CGGGACGGGUGAGUAAUGUCUGGGAAACUGACUGAUGGAGGGGGGUAACUACUGGAAACGGUAGCUAAUACCGCAUAACGUCGCAAGACCAAAGAGGGGGACCUUCGGGCCUCUUGCCAUCGGAUGUGCCCAGAUGGGAUUAGCUAGUAGGUGGGGUAACGGCUCACCUAGGCGACGAUCCCUAGCUGGUCUGAGAGGAUGACCAGCCACACUGGAACUGAGACACGGUCCAG